GGGGAUGCAUGGCUUCGACGGGGAGGGCUGUUUCAGAGUUGCAAGCAGCGGCGCCUGACCGCUCUAAAACGGGCAGAAGAUAGAUGCGAACACUCGCACCAACCUCGCGGCUCUUCCUGUCGCGGCGUAAGCCAACUCAGGAUUAGCCAACAGGUUCGCCGGCUAGCCCGGCGACGUCCACGCACGGUCUCCCCCAAAGGCCGCGCGCUGGGCGAAACCAACUUGGGGUGCGGCGGUCGCCACGCCGGUAACGAUCGUCAAAGCGGCGCAAGCCAACACGGCUCGGCGUUUCCAACUCUGUCGGACGAGUAAGGGAACGCGAGAUGCUAACGCAAAAAGACCGACUAGGCUUGUAGUAACUCUGGGGCGAACUUUUCGGACGCGGGUUCAAUUCCCGCCAUCUCCACCA
RNAcentral lists this transfer-messenger RNA (409 nucleotides) under Chloroflexota bacterium. It matches the Rfam family "transfer-messenger RNA". From Rfam's summary of the family: Bacterial tmRNA, also known as 10Sa RNA or SsrA, is named for its dual tRNA and mRNA-like properties. Its role is to liberate the mRNA from a stalled ribosome. To accomplish this part of the tmRNA is used as a reading frame that ends in a translation stop signal. Lineage: Bacteria; Bacillati; Chloroflexota. The record is from RNAcentral.